UACGUAGGGUGCGAGCGUUGUCCGGAAUUAUUGGGCGUAAAGGGCUCGUAGGCGGUUUGUCGCGUCGGGAGUGAAAAUCCAGGGCUUAACUCUGGACUGGCUUCCGAUACGGGCAGACUAGAGGUAUGCAGGGGAGAACGGAAUUCCUGGUGUAGCGGUGAAAUGCGUAGAUAUCUGGAGGAACACCGGUGGCGAAGGCGGCAUCCUGGACCAAUAUUGACGCUGAGGAGCGAAAGCCAGGGGAGCAAACGGG
RNAcentral lists this ribosomal RNA (253 nucleotides) under uncultured bacterium. RNAcentral describes it as "partial 16S ribosomal RNA". It matches the Rfam family "Bacterial small subunit ribosomal RNA", at positions 524 to 776 of the family's 1533-position model. The record is from RNAcentral.